RNAcentral lists this ribosomal RNA (497 nucleotides) under uncultured bacterium. RNAcentral's name for it is "partial 16S ribosomal RNA". It matches the Rfam family "Bacterial small subunit ribosomal RNA", at positions 28 to 507 of the family's 1533-position model. The record is from RNAcentral.
GAUGAACGCUGGCGGCGUGCCUAAUACAUGCAAGUCGAGCGAACAGACGAGGAGCUUGCUCCUCUGACGUUAGCGGCGGACGGGUGAGUAACACGUGGAUAACCUACCUAUAAGCCUGGGAUAACUUCGGGAAACCGGAGCUAAUACCGGAUAAUAUCUUGAACCGCAUGGUUCAAUAGUGAAAGACGGUUUUGCUUUAACUUAUAGAUGGAUCCGCGCGUCAUUAGCUAGUUGGUAAGGUAACGGCUUACCAAGGCAACGAUGCGUAGCCGACCUGAGAGGGUAAUCGGCCACACGGGAACUGAGACACGGUCCAGACUCCUACGGGAGGCAGCAGUAGGGAAUCUUCCGCAAUGGGCGAAAGCCUGACGGGGCAACGCCGCGGGAGUGAUGAAGGUCUUCGGAUCGUAAAACUCUGUUAUUAGGGAAGAACAAAUGUGUAAGUAACUAUGCACGUCUUGACGGUACCUAAUCAGAAAGCCGCGGCUAACUACGUG